RNAcentral lists this long non-coding RNA (1164 nucleotides) under Sinocyclocheilus anshuiensis. RNAcentral describes it as "lncRNA (ENSSANG00000036592.1)". The stretch from base 549 to 642 matches the Rfam family "Small nucleolar SNORD12/SNORD106". The record is from RNAcentral. Lineage: Eukaryota; Metazoa; Chordata; Actinopteri; Cypriniformes; Cyprinidae.
UUGGAACCCACUCUGACGUCACCGCAUCGACCUGCGCAUGCGCUUGGACUAUAAAAGGCGGGUUCGCGUGUUCUUAUUUCCCAGUUCCGUCUUCCUUGACCAGGGUAAGCAAUGUUCACUUUGUAAUUGUUUUUUUCUUUUUUUAACUUGCUAGAAAUAUUUUUUGAAGCGUGUUCUACAAAUGAUUUACCAAAACACGCACUGUGAUAAAGUUGUCAGGAUAACAAAAGUGAAAUGUAGGAUUUUGGUGUAGUUGCAUGCUGACCACGUGGCUCGUUGCACGCGGGAAGGUCUAAAUAGACAAUGAAAAUUUCACUGGUUUAGUUUUAUCAUAUUGUUUGGUGCACAUAAUGUUAAACAAGUUAGUCCAUUGUUUCAAUGUUACAUACAGGCCAUUUAAGUGACUAGGUUAUUUCUAGUUGCUUAAUUGUCUGAUGUUACUUUGUAAUUGUUUUGCAGUAUGUGGGCUGUUGGACCAUGGAGUUGUGCUGUAGUGCUUACUCAGAUGUUGGUGAGUUUAGAUUUACACUAGACUAUGCUUUAAAACUUCUGGUAGCAAUGAUGACUGAUCUUUUUUUCCCCAGCAGACCGACACUGUUGACCCUUUAUAACGAAAUAAGCCAAAUGAUCUAAGCAACCAUGUUGUUGCCACAAAAUCUGGUAAUCACGGUUUUUACGGUCGUUGACGUUUACUGCUCCUGUCCCUACAGAUCAUACUGGAGCAGAAUGGAUAACCUUAAAUUCAUCAGACUUUGUUUCAUAAGUCAUCCACACUCUAAAACGGGAGUUCUGGAGGACCAGAAGACUUCACAUGAUGAAUGGCCAGAUGUGAAGGUAUUUGAGAGAUUUGUUCCUCCGAAGGCUCUACACUGUCAAACCCACGUGGAGAAGUGGGUGAAGUACAUAAUGGUCCCUCUAAGCAGUCCAGCGUUUACCAGUUAUGGGGAGAAAAACCUUUUAUGCAUUAAAGUUGACCUACGACUGUUCCAACAUGCCGGGGGGGGGUUUUUUCUCACUAAUCUUAAGAAUUAUUGCUUGUAUUUUAUGUAAGUGCCUAAAUAGUCUUGCAGCUGGCACUUACCUCUAUUACUUUUACAAUAAAACUAUUAAACCAUGAAUUGAUUUUGCGUUCAUUAACUUGUUCUGUGCAUCUCUCAUUCAUCU